RNAcentral lists this unclassified non-coding RNA (261 nucleotides) under Polyblastia neglecta. Its description in RNAcentral is "partial contains 5.8S ribosomal RNA, internal transcribed spacer 2, and large subunit ribosomal RNA". Lineage: Eukaryota; Fungi; Ascomycota; Eurotiomycetes; Verrucariales; Verrucariaceae. The record is from RNAcentral.
CGCACAUUGCGCCCUUUGGCAUUCCGAAGGGCAUGCCUGUCCGAGCGUCAUUAUCAACCGUCAAGCCCGGCUUGUCCCUUGGACUUCCGCCCCUUCACCGGUGGCGGGGCCCGAAAGUCAGUGGUGGGCGUCCUCUGACCCUGAGACGUAGCGAGUCUUUUUAGGCAGCGUCGAGGCGGUCGGUGGGCUCCAUCUUAACCGUCAAUCUUUUUUGGUUCAAGAGUUGACCUCGGAUCAGGUAGGGAUACCCGCUGAACUUAA